Molecule: transfer RNA, 73 nt
Filed under: Lachnellula subtilissima
Lineage: Eukaryota; Fungi; Ascomycota; Leotiomycetes; Helotiales; Lachnaceae
Rfam family: tRNA
About the family: Transfer RNA (tRNA) molecules are approximately 80 nucleotides in length.
Source: Rfam by way of RNAcentral
GGCCUUAUCGUCAAGUGGUUAAGACGUAAUUUUUUCACAAUUAUAUGCGAGGGUUCGAACCCCUCUGAGGCUA